GACUUCGUGGUUGAGUGGUAAGAACACUUUCCUCUCACUGAAGUCCCGGGUUCGAUCCCCGGUCGAGAAACU
This is a non-coding RNA of Rhamnusium bicolor, 72 nucleotides long. Lineage: Eukaryota; Metazoa; Arthropoda; Insecta; Coleoptera; Cerambycidae. The record is from the annotation of a GenBank genome assembly.